Molecule: unclassified non-coding RNA, 21 nt
Filed under: Mus musculus (house mouse)
Lineage: Eukaryota; Metazoa; Chordata; Mammalia; Rodentia; Muridae
Description: oocyte_clustered_small_RNA8920
Source: RNAcentral
UCUAUGGCCAGAAAAAUCGGA